GAUCCUGGCUUAGGAGUGAACGCUAGCGAUAGGCCUAACACAUGCAAGUCGAGGGGCAUCACAUGAGGUAGCAAUACCGAUGGUGGCGACCGGCGCACGGGUGAGUAACACGUAUGCAACCUGCCUUCAACAAGGGCAUAACCCGUUGAAAGACGGACUAAUUCCCUAUGACACAGGGGUCCCGCAUGGGGAUAUUUGUUAAAGAUUAAUCGGUUGGAGAUGGGCAUGCGUUCCAUUAGCUUGUUGGCGGGUAACGGCCCACCAAGGCAACGAUGGAUAGGGGAACUGAGAGGUUUAUCCCCCACACUGGUACUGAGACACGGACCAGACUCCUACGGGAGGCAGCAGUGAGGAAUAUUGGUCAAUGGGCGCAAGCCUGAACCAGCCACGUCCGCGUGAAGGAAGACGGCCCUACGGGUUGUAAACUUCUUUUGCAAGGGAAUAAAGUUGGCCACGCGUGGCCUUUUGCAUGUACCUUGCGAAUAAGGAUCGGCUAACUCCGUGCCAGCCGCCGC
RNAcentral lists this ribosomal RNA (515 nucleotides) under uncultured bacterium. Its description in RNAcentral is "bacterial SSU rRNA". It matches the Rfam family "Bacterial small subunit ribosomal RNA", at positions 15 to 518 of the family's 1533-position model. The record is from RNAcentral.